This 257-nucleotide ribosomal RNA is filed under the name uncultured bacterium. RNAcentral's name for it is "partial 16S ribosomal RNA". It matches the Rfam family "Bacterial small subunit ribosomal RNA", at positions 524 to 776 of the family's 1533-position model. The record is from RNAcentral.
UACGUAGGGUGCGAGCGUUGUCCGGAAUUAUUGGGCGUAAAGAGCUCGUAGGCGGUGUGUCACGUCGGCCCGUGAAAACCUGCAGCUUAACUGUGGGCGUGCGGUCGAUACGGGCAUCACUGGAGUUCGGCAGGGGAGACUGGAAUUCCUGGUGUAGCGGUGAAAAUGCGCAGAUAUCAGGAGGAACACCGGUGGCGAAGGCGGGUCUCUGGGCCGAUACUGACGCUGAGGAGCGAAAGCGUGGGGGAGCAAACAGG